RNAcentral lists this long non-coding RNA (251 nucleotides) under Lathyrus oleraceus (garden pea). Its description in RNAcentral is "Pisum sativum (pea) long non-coding RNA (PSAT_LNC028708)". The record is from RNAcentral. Lineage: Eukaryota; Viridiplantae; Streptophyta; Magnoliopsida; Fabales; Fabaceae.
GAGUUACAACAUUGGAUUACACAAGUUCUAAUAUUAACUAGUUACUCUCUCAUCACUAAAAUUGUAUAAAGUGUAUAAGAAAUUUUUAGGAUCAAGAUGAGAGUAGAGAAGAAGGUGUUUUUUUUAAACUUGUGUGUUUUAAAAUGAAAAUGUUUCCUCCUUUUAUAGUAAAAGAUUUACACUAGUUUAGAAACUUUGGUAAGGCCCGAUCUGGUCUAUAAUUAAUUAGGCUAAUCAAUUAUGACUUAGAA